RNAcentral lists this ribosomal RNA (414 nucleotides) under Triticum aestivum (bread wheat). Its description in RNAcentral is "partial small subunit ribosomal RNA". Lineage: Eukaryota; Viridiplantae; Streptophyta; Magnoliopsida; Poales; Poaceae. The record is from RNAcentral.
AUGGUACAGAAGAAGAACUUCCAGCCCAACAAGUUCAAAAACAACAAGAACAAAACUCAGGGCAAAGGCAAGUUUGAUACAAAGAACAAGCCGUCACAUUCUACCAACUUCAAGAAGAAUUCUCAUAAGAAAGGGAAGGGACUUUGCCAUGUCUACAGUGAUCCUAAUCACUGGGCUCCGAAGUGUCCUAACCGCUUUGAGGAGCACGGACAUGAGAAGAGCGACAAGUCCACUAAUGUUGUCAUCGGUGAUACUGAUAUGAAGGAAUCUGGGUACGGUCACAGGGACUUCUCCCGUGCUGAUGGGGAACGGGUCACAUGGCAUCGUUCGAGGUGUUGGUAUGGCCGAUCUAAAGUUUACUUCGGGGAAGACCAUGCGUCUGAAGAACGUUCAUCAUGUGCCAUCCAUCAAUAA